Triticum dicoccoides is the source of this 2780-nucleotide long non-coding RNA. RefSeq lists it as uncharacterized. The transcript is spliced from 7 exons. The record is from RefSeq and is a predicted model, not a curated record. NCBI's taxonomy places the organism in Eukaryota, Viridiplantae, Streptophyta, Magnoliopsida, Poales, Poaceae.
GCCCAAUCGGCUCCCCAUCUCUUGUGGCUUGGGCGUGGGCGUGAACCCUAGCCCCCAGUCCACAGCCGCCACACCCCUCCUCCGGUCCUUCCCGCUCCCAAUCUCCUCUCCCACUCCGCCGCCUCCCCGCUCCCCACUCGCCUCAGCCACCUCCUAUGCUCCCUCGCGCCACCGACUCCCUCCCUCCUCCCUCCCUCGUCAUCGCAGCCGACCACCUGCCGUCACUUAGGCCCCCAUGGCGGCUGCCGGGUCGGGGUGGAGGCAAUAGGCCAUGGAGAAUCUGGUGGUGUCUGUGGGUGCAGCAGGGGUAGAUGGAGCGUCGGAUGCGGGCGGGCUCCCACCCUUAGGCUCCACGACGGAGGCCAGUUCAGAGGGCGAAAGCAGAAAGCGGUGGCGUGUCCUACGCUUGUGGGCGGAAGCAGCGAGGUUGGUCGAGCGGUGAUUGUGGCCGGGGUCAGUAGCUGAAGGAGGCUCGCUGACUGGAACAGUAGGAGGAGCGCCUCGAGGAGUCGAAGGGAGAGGUCGUGCAGGCCAGACAAAGGAGAGCAAGGACGAUAAAUAUUCAAUCAGACCUAUGUUUUCUUCUCGAUGCACCUCGGCAUGAGGAGUCGUGCUAGGCAUCCUGGGGUGAUUCAAGAUGCUCAGGUGUACCACACUGCAUGCUACACAGGUCAAUUGUGCAGUGAAAUGAAAGGCCACAAACAACGCUUCUCCGGGAAGUGAAUUUUAUGGUGCCUUGCAUUCUGCUCAUUUGGCGCAAUUGUUCAUCACAAAGAGGAGGGGAGAGGUCUACCCUUGGGAAAUGGGUGCCUCUCCAGUCAAGCGAGCGACGACAAAUCCAACUGGAAAGGGCUCUGUGGUGAUCUUCAUGUUAUCAGUAACUAUACAUGAGUUUCCUUGCUAACAGUUGUUAUCUUUCAACGUUGCAAGUUUAGCCCUAUUUGCAAUACAACAUUCAAGCAAAUAAUUUGUGCUUUAUAUUUUGAAAUGCAUGUGCAGCAUGUUUUUUUCUCUUUUAUCCAAGCUACUAUGCAAAAUUGUAUUGUUUUACGGCCAUUUGGUUCAUAGGAGUGAGCUUUGUAGGACUGGGAUAAUACAUGCAUGUGCAGUAUUAUAGAUACACAGUUAGCUGUCGAACAAUUCUUAUUUGUAGUUCUCUGAAAUAUUACUUCCUUACUUUAAAUUUACCUUCUUUCUUAUCCAUGUACAAGCAAAGGGAUUUAUAGCUGGUGAAGAGCAGCAAGGCAAGGCCAUUGCGCCGGCUGUUGAGCUUGAAAAGUUCGUAUGGAAUAUGCAAAAAAAUAUUUUUUCCGUUAUGUUCUGUUGGAAUUUGUCACAUUUCUUUUGUGAAAGAAUGUGCCAUUGUCUAAUAUAUUUGUCAAACAAAAAAUAGUUGCAUAUACUAGACUGGAUGGUUUGAGAAACUACGGGCACUAUCAAGAGUGUGUUAUAGGAAAUUUGUUUAAUUACAUAUAUCAUAUAUGUUCUGCUCUUAAGAGAUUAGUUUAGUUACAUGUAUAUUCUGCUUUGUGGUGUCACCCCUACAUCUAUUCAUGCAUAAUGAAUUUGGUGGUGUCAUUCUUUAUAUUGCAACAUGUUAAACAAUCUUGUGAUUGUAAUAUUUUUUUGGUGUUGCCAUAAAAUUAGAAACAUUUAUUGAAAUUGUUCAGUGAUGCAAUUUUAUGAUAUUGAGUGCCUUAGCCUUUGGUUGGAUAUAGAGUUUGAAAACAAUAUCUAGGUUGGAGCACACUAUGCUACAUCAAAAAGGACCUACAUAGCUAAUCAAGUAUGUUUGCUAAGAGGUGAACUUAGCAAAAUUGAGGAUGUCAGCUUUUACAUUUUGUCAUGCUUGGCUUAGAUAAGAUGUAUCCAUGCUUUUUUGUGUUUGUACCAAAGCUUCCUUGCCUUUAGAGGAUUUUGUGCAAGCUUUGCAUUUUCUUUGCCUGAGGCUACAAAUGCAUAUUUUCAUUUGUUCUGGUAGUUUUAUUACCUUCGGAACAGUCACAUGCAUGAGGCAGUGAGUUUGGACAAGGUGGAGCAGCGUCGACUGUCACACACACUAAUGGAGAUUGGGAUGUCUACCUUCCUAUUGACGAUCUUAUAAUUCAUCUGCUAACUGACAUAUUUUAGCCAUAUAAUUUCUGGUGACUGGAAGUCUAAAACUGAAGAUAGGGCAGAUUGUUUUGAUUAUGAUUACUUGGAGAUCUCGUGGCUUGCUGUCCAUGGAUCAGUCAGACCUACGGCAACAUCAACUCAUUGAUUCUAGAGGCCAUGGUUCUCGAGGUGAACUCUGAAUCUCUGAUGCAAUUGCAGUGGAGGCUAGAGCCUGCCAAGUGAUGCAGAAGAUGAAACCAUAUAGUGCAACUGACUUUUCAGAUUAUUUAUUUCCUCCUAACAACAUGUCAUAAAUGUGGUGCUGGGCAAACAGAAGAGAUGUUGUACAGAGUGACUCCAUAACUGAAGAGUAGACAAACAUUGUGCAAGGCAUUUUUGUUCAGUUCCUUUCAAAAAUGAAGGAAUUACAGUGCAUCUGACCUGUAAAGGAGUGUGACGGACAAAAUGCUAUGAAUCAGAGGAGUGGGAGGGAAGAGUUUACCAACAACUUUUGAAGGGACAAAGUGUGACCUGGAUUCGAGAAACAAAAUGUGACCUGGAUUCCUAAGUUAUAGCCAACGUAGCAAAAUUGUAUAGAGAAUGCCCGCAUUUUGGAAACUCUACAUAGUUUGAGGCUAUGUUCCUUUCAAUUUUCAGCAUUAUUAAAAAAAUUCUUAUUGUUGCUA